AUGGCUCAGGAUGAACGCUGGCGGCGUGCCUAAUACAUGCAAGUCGAGCGAAUGGAUUGAGAGCUUGCUCUCAAGAAGUUAGCGGCGGACGGGUGAGUAACACGUGGGUAACCUGCCCAUAAGACUGGGAUAACUCCGGGAAACCGGGGCUAAUACCGGAUAAUAUUUUGAACUGCAUGGUUCGAAAUUGAAAGGCGGCUUCGGCUGUCACUUAUGGAUGGACCCGCGUCGCAUUAGCUAGUUGGUGAGGUAACGGCUCACCAAGGCAACGAUGCGUAGCCGACCUGAGAGGGUGAUCGGCCACACUGGGACUGAGACACGGCCCAGACUCCUACGGGAGGCAGCAGUAGGGAAUCUUCCGCAAUGGACGAAAGUCUGACGGAGCAACGCCGCGUGAGUGAUGAAGGCUUUCGGGUCGUAAAACUCUGUUGUUAGGGAAGAACAAGUGCUAGUUGAAUAAGCUGGCACCUGACGGUACCU
This 480-nucleotide ribosomal RNA is filed under the name Bacillus sp. (in: firmicutes). Its description in RNAcentral is "bacterial SSU rRNA". It matches the Rfam family "Bacterial small subunit ribosomal RNA", at positions 19 to 480 of the family's 1533-position model. The record is from RNAcentral. Lineage: Bacteria; Bacillati; Bacillota; Bacilli; Caryophanales; Bacillaceae.